CCUACGGGUGGCAGCAGUAGGGAAUUUUCGGCAAUGGGGGGAACCCUGACCGAGCAACGCCGCGUGAACGAAGAAGUUAUUCGUAAUGUACAGUUCUUUUAACAGGGAAGAAAGAGAAAUUUGACGGUACCUGAAGAAUAAGCUCCGGCUAACUACGUGCAAGCAGCCGCGGUAAUACGUAGGAAGCGAGCGUUAUCCGGAAUGAUUGGGCGUAAAGGGUGCGUAGAGGGCAUAGUAAGUCUUUUGUAAAAAUGCUGGGCUCAACCCAGUAGGGCAAAAGAUACUGCAAAGCUAGAGUAUGACAGAGGGAAGUUGAACGACAUGGGUAGCGGUAAAAUGCGUUAAUUUAUGUAAGAACACCAGGGGCGAAGGCGGGUUGCUGGGUCGAUACUGACAUUGAGGCACGAAAGCGUGGGGAGCAAACAGGAUUAGAUACCCUGGUAGUC
RNAcentral lists this ribosomal RNA (446 nucleotides) under uncultured bacterium. RNAcentral's name for it is "partial 16S ribosomal RNA". It matches the Rfam family "Bacterial small subunit ribosomal RNA", at positions 338 to 795 of the family's 1533-position model. The record is from RNAcentral.